UCAGGAGUCUCAACAUGGCAGGCAGGACGGCAGCAUUGCAGCAAAGCAGCCCUGAAUGAACACCAAGCAAAAGGAGAGGCCCUGGCGGAGUUGUGGCUCCACAGUGAGGGCAAUAUGUAUUCCCCCAGAUGUUAGCCCUGCACUGCCUGGAUUAUGGAUGUCAUGCACUGUGUCCACCCAGCUCUCCUUUGAGCAGAAUGUGCAACAUCCCUGGGAGGUACCUCUCAAAGACAGUCUGAUUUGGGGGUACCACAAGGACUCUCCCUAAUGUUGCUGUGAUCACAACGUUUGAAAGAUAAAGAUGCAGAACACAUAUUCAUCGAGGACAAUGCUUAGUAGAACAGCCUGAUAUAUCUCAUGUUUCUCCUACUGAUGCCCAGGAUGCUCAUUCAUGCCUGUAGCAAAGAAGAGAUGCUUAGGUGGCAUGGUGAACACAAGACUAAGGACAAGAGGACAAUGGUAAUGGACAGAUAACAGCAGUACAUGCUUUCUUCAUCUCUUUCGGAAAGACACGUGCACGCUGCCUGGUCCAUAUGGUUCUGCAUUCAAGAACUGUAGGAGUGCCUUCAACCAAUUCUCUGCAGUGUUUUAUCCCUACAAACUAUAGUGGAAUCAUGAGUGUUGACCAGACUGACAGUUCCUGCCCACCUGUCAUCUAACCACUUGAAGGAGGGGUUCAAAUGCACAUAUUGACAGCCAGCAGAGAGGAUGCUCUCUGUUACUAGCACCCAAUGCAAAGAUAUUAAUUUAAGUAAGAAUUUUCGUGGUGGGAAGAAAGAUUGUUCUUUGUGCAUGCUCAGAGAGAAAGACCAGUGAGUGGUCUUUCUCAUGUCUCUGCCAGGUGAAUGGCAAUGAAGGUUUCUCUCUUCUUUUUUUUGUUUGUUUGUUUGUUUUUGGCCAGGUAUCUGUCAGAGUACUCUCUGGGUGCAUACAGUUUACAAAGUCCCUAUUAAAGUUGAUAAAACGAAAAGAAACCUGGUUUAAUUAUUGUAAUUAACCCUCUAAUAAUCUUAUUGAUGGUCAGAACGAAAAAGCACCUACAUGCAUUCUUAUACCUCCUUCUGACUAAAAUGUUCUCUUUUCUUCCAGCUCAUAACCCAUGUAGAAAAUAUCUUGGCACUCUUGUUUUUUUCAUGCUAACAUGCUUAUUGUUUAUCUAUUACAGAUAAUUAUCUCAUUACCUUUGAAUUUUAGAAUGCCACAGUUAUGCUCUGAUAACACCCCACUGAAGUAAAGAAUAACUAUUAUAACCAUUUCAAAGAUGGGCAUUAAAAAAGGUGUAAAGACUCAAGGUAGUUUCUUCAUAAUAAGGCAGCUGAAAUGGAACUGAAUCUGAGGCACAUAUUCUCAUCAUCUAGGUUUUCUCUAUGCUAAGCAGAGAGAAAGGAGAUACUUUCAGAUGUUCUAAGGAGGAUAAGCACCAUGAGUAUGUGUCUUUCCUCUGAAAGUAGAAAGGAUUAAGGCUUUUAGGUUUAAUUAUAUUUAAUUUAGGUAAAUAAAACAUUGUUUAGGUAAAAUGAAUUCCAUCCCACGUAACUUCCUUAAAAUUCCACAGGAUGUCUUCAGUGGAUCAUAACCUGAGUCUUUUGGGUCCAGACUUAAUUAUAACUGCUUACACUUGAGAAUUUCCAAAACAGCAGUCAUAUGAUUUUGGCUCACUUCCUUCUAAGCUGGAAGAUUCUGAUCAAGAUAAAGUAUAGAAAAAGUCAGAUCAUUUGGAAUCAUAAAAGGAAGAAUAACCACCUGAGGAUGAUACUUAUGUAACUCCAUUUUUCUCUGGUUUCUUUAUCCUUAUGUAAGACAGGAAUUAGCAUGAGAGUGGGCAUUUAUUGCAGGUCAUAAACAUCCUCCAUGAAUGGAUAUUCAGAGUGACAACAAUUUCCUGGUCUAGAGUAAUUUUAGCUGCCCUUCAGCAUUGCAUUAUGUCACAUUUGGUUACACAUAUAUGAUAACACACCCCAACAUGACACCUUAGUGAAGUAUACUGGCUUGGUAUGAGGACAUAACGCAUAAAUGGAAAGUGCCUGGAUAGGAAAGCCAUGUAUCAUGCCCCAAAACAGAACCUGCAAAGAAGAAAAAGGACAGGAUUCAAACCUGAUCAGAUCAGGCAGAAACAUGGCCAAAACAUUUAUAGCUGCAGUCUUGAAUGUAAGAAAUUAGUAGAAGGAACCUCAUUGUUAAUUUCCAGCAGCAUGCAGGAGCACAUAGUGCAAUAGAGAGUUGUUUAUGCAUAGAUCCCUGAAAACACGUGCAUAGUAUUACACAUCAAUCUCCUAAUAAGGCCAAAGGGAGGGGAAAGUAGUGCAGUACAGUGUGUGCAUACAGGAGUCACAGGCUCAAUAUGUGCUUAAGUAUGCUGGGUCAUAAAGCAGACUGCAUUAGGAUACUAGACUUCUGGCAGGAAAUAUGCUGUCUAGUUUCUCCUUUGAAUGUAGAGUUUCACAUUGAAUCAUCAGUAACAUGCUCAAUGCCACUGAUGGGCAACACUGCAAUCCCUCCAUAGCUAAGGAUUUAUGCCAAGAUACAACAGCCUUCAGUAUGAAAGGCACUGUAGAAUCAUAGAAUCAUAGAAUGUCCUGAGUUGGAAGAGACCCACAAGGAUCAUCAAGUCCAACUGCUGUCCCUGCACAGGACAAUCCCAAAUUCACACCAUGUCUCUGAGGGCGUUGUCCAAGUGCUUCUUGAAUAUCAUCAGGCUUGGUGCCGUGACUGCCUCCCUGGGGAGCCUGUUCCAGUGCUCCACCACCUUCUGGGGGAAGAACCUUUACCUAAUAUCCAACCUAAACCUCCCCUGGCACAUCUUCCUGCCAUUCCCUCCAGUCCUAUCACUAAGAAGAUAGAAAAUACAGAGCAAAUAGGCAAAUGUGUGAUUUUUCUACUUACAGCAAAAGAUUUGACAGGCCAGGGUACAUGCUUGACCAAAAGCUUGUUAAAGACAACAAUAGACAAGUCCUGAUUACACCAGGAGUACGAUUUUAUUACCACACCUUGUGGUGACUGAAAAAACAGAUAGUGCAAAAGUUUUAUCAUAUCAAGUGACAGACCCUUGUGGAGACAAAAAGGAAAAUUAACUACCUCAUCUCUGCAUUUCUCUUUUGUUAUUAUUUUGUGGUCUAUUUAUUAAGGAUCCAUGUCUGAAACUAUUAUCAGAAACUAUUUCUGUCCAAUGAAUUACACUUUUUCUCCAGGCUUGAAAUACUGGAAGCUUUCAGUACCUUGGUUUAUGGUGACUGAAUGAUCCUCACAAAGACUUGAUCUGGGUGUAUGAGAUUUGUGUGGUGACUAAUCAUUUUUCUAUAAUCAAACAACUCAGUUGCUUGACCUGUUUGAAAAGCUUAGAAUUAAAAAUAAAAUAAAAUAAAAUAAAUAAAAUAAAAUAAAAUAAAAUAAAAUAAAAUAAAAUAAAAUAAAAUAAAAUAAAAUAAAAUAAAAUAAAAUAGAAAGAAUAAUUCUGGGAAUUUCAACACUCAUUCAGCUCACAGUCUUGCUUAUUAAAACUAACAAUUUUUCAAAAUCAUUUCUGCUGAUGUAGUUCUAACCUUUUUUCAGCUUAGCUUGGGGAUACAGCCAGUUUCUCUUGCACAGGCAAACCUUGACCCAUAACCCACAUGCUCUUCCAUUUCUUUCCAUAAAUAUACAUUAUUAUAGUAGAAUAUUGGGAUCUGUGAGUUGAAAAAGCCUUAUUCUAUAUUAUUUUACUUUUAAAAAGUAUUCUGUAGGAUAUCCUCUUCAUUCUUACUCUGCAAAAUCUCACUCUCCCAUAUGCUGCCAUUUUCACUGAUGAAAAAAGCCAUUUCAUUUUUUUCCUUUCAGAAGCAUAGUAGAAAUCGAGUGUACUUCAGGAUUAUUUUUUCUCCAAAAUGUCUAAGUCAUUCAUUUACUAACUCUUGAAGUCAGACAAGUUGUGCAGAAGUACUUUAUGCAGUCAGUUUGAUAAAUUUCAGACUGUACUGGUAGAGGAAUGUGAAUAAUGGAAAAAUUAUUCACAAAUAUAUUAUCCCAAAACCUUAAAGAAACCAUACAUAUUAAGUUCUCUUACUUAUUCCAGAAAAGGAAUAAAUGAUAAAUAAAUAUUUCAGGAGCAAUUCAUUCAAAUAAUUUAUUUUUAAAUUGUCUAUGCCACGAUCCAAAGUCUAUUGAAAUAAUUGAUCUCACUUCUGUCUGCUCAGCUCCGUAAUGAAAUACACAAGAAGCCCUAGUAUUUGAGUCAUGCUCUUUCCACUGCUUUCAACUUUUAACCUGCUUUAAAGAGUUCCUUCAUGCACUAAGUAUUCCCUUUUAUUUUCAGCUUUCCCAUACCUUCAGUUUUCCUGCCCAAAAUUUUUUACAGUUUAAAGAUAUUAGAAUUACAAAUAUGUGUGACACAAUUAUUUUUAAAAUUAUUCUGAUGGUACUUUAUAUUUUUUAUUUUAUGAAUCAGUAGCAAUUAGAUCACAACUGUCUAUUUUGUGGCUAGUUUAGGAAUUGAUUUAUGUUGAAUAUAAAUACAUGAAAAUUGUUCUACUUUGCUUUUCCAUACCUUUAUAACUAAGCCUUCAUCACUGUAAAAGAAAAAACUGUGGGGUUAAUUUUUAAGUGUGCAUAGAUUCAAAUAAGAAAUGAAAUAGAUCUUCAGCAGAGCACAGGAGCAAAAGGCAAUAAAGUCCCAUAUAACCCAAAACCUGAGUAGGGAAACCUUCUUGUAGGUUGUGGGAGCCUGGAAUUAAUUUCCUGUCUGAGAGGAACUGGAGAAUGUCUCCCUUCUGGCUCAGUUUCUCUUUAGAUCCAUCUAUGUUAGGAUACUUGCACUGCUUACACGUCAUUCCAUUUUACUUGUAGGUCUAUAAAGGGAAUAGAGACAUCACAUCACAAAGUUCUGCAGCACCUAACUUUUACAACAGCCAGAUUAGGCAGUAGCUUCUUUAUGAAAUACACAAAGAGUUUUAGGAAUGGGAGCUGCAAAAGCCAUUGCACAGUUCAGUGCAUUAAGCUAGGAACUAAGAAAGACUAGGGAAAUAAUGUGGUUUUGCACCCUUUUUAGUGUCUUUCUGCUAGUUUUAAACGAUUCCUUUUUUAUUCAAAAUCAAAGAAGGAGUAGUCAUUUUUUAGGAAAGAGAAACUUUAACUAACCAGCUCCUCAAGGGCUAGGAUGUUGAUUUAGCAUGUAGGGUACCUCCUUUCAGUUCCUCACUCUACCUGAAGCAAUUUAAGCUUGCUUUUUUUUAGAUAAACCAGGGUAGUAUACAUAUAUUUAUUCAACAAACCAACGAAUGAGCAUGCACUGUUUUAGCCUAGUCAACAGAGCAUUUGCCUAAGAGAGGUAAACUUGAAUCCCAUCCCUGAUUCCAAAGGCCUGUAUUUUUAUCUGAAGUAUUUAAUGGAGCAGGGGCCAGAUGUAGAACCAGAGUAUUCCCAAGUGAUUUUCUUAAAUGUAGUAUAAAGUCACGUCCAUCUUCUCUGGUCCAAUGAGUGUUGAACUAUUGCAAGUAACAUGUAGAUAUCUUCAGGAAGGUAUUCAGAAUACCUUAGAGUCCAGUAAUAAAAGUAUUCACAGAAGAAAUGUGGUUUCAAAUCUUUGCAGCCAGGAGAGGCAGUUAUCCCCAUUUCUCCUCUGCCUCCUUGCCUUGCUCCUUAACAUGAAGCUAUUGAAACACACAUGAUUUAAGAAGAUUUUUGUAUCUUGAUUAGAGACAACUGUUUCUCCUCAGUCCGUCUUAAGUUAUUUGCAGGGCAACUCUACAUCUGAAGACAUAACUCCAUGGUGCACUCAGGGCAUGUAAUUAAGUGAGACUGUUCUGAGCACACAGGGUAACUGAGCAGCACUUCUGCAGUGAGUCUAGUGCAUUGAUGUAUUGCGCUGGUGAUAGGUCUUCUAAAUAGGAACUUCGCCUCUCGCUUCAAGAUGAUGUCUCCCUCUCUGCUCUGUACAGUGAUUCAUGUACAUCUGCAAGAGUGUCAGAGGCUGAGCCAAAGUCCUCCACUUAGCAUAUUUUACAAUCUAUGUUAGUGGCUAUUCAUUCAAUACUAUGUUUGCUGUUAGUUCAUUUAUGUGACUGUCUCCAAAUAUUUUAUAAAGUGCUCUGUAUCUAGCUUAAACACUUGCUGCUUUGCUAAGUACCAUGGUACUUCUGUCCUUGUGUAGAUUUAGCCCCAGGUGUUCCAGUCAAUUUGAAUAUUUGAUGUCAUUUUCAACACACACAAAAAUCCAUGUCUAAUUUAAACCUCUCAAAUUCUUAUUUCAUCAAAGAUGU
Molecule: non-coding RNA, 6230 nt
Organism: Phalacrocorax carbo (great cormorant)
Lineage: Eukaryota; Metazoa; Chordata; Aves; Suliformes; Phalacrocoracidae
Source: RefSeq, a predicted model, not a curated record